AGGUUAACCCAGUGGAGGUAGUUUGGGCCACCUCCCAUCCGUGUCUAUUGUACCCUGUUGCUUCGGCGGGCCCGCCGCUUGUCGGCCGCCGGGGGGGCGCCUCUGCCCCCCGGGCCCGUGCCCGCCGGAGACCCCAACACGAACACUGUCUGAAAGCGUGCAGUCUGAGUUGAUUGAAUGCAAUCAGUUAAAACUUUCAACAAUGGAUCUCUUGGUUCCGGCAUCGAUGAAGAACGCAGCGAAAUGCGAUAACUAAUGUGAAUUGCAGAAUUCAGUGAAUCAUCGAGUCUUUGAACGCACAUUGCGCCCCCUGGUAUUCCGGGGGGCAUGCCUGUCCGAGCGUCAUUGCUGCCCUCAAGCCCGGCUUGUGUGUUGGGUCGCCGUCCCCCUCUCCGGGGGGACGGGCCCGAAAGGCAGCGGCGGCACCGCGUCCGAUCCUCGAGCGUAUGGGGCUUUGUCACAUGCUCUGUAGGAUUGGCCGGCGCCUGCCGACGUUUUCCAACCAUUCUUUCCAGGUUGACCUCGGAUCAGGUAGGGAUACCCGCUGAACUUAAGCAUAUCAAUAAGCGGAGGAA
RNAcentral lists this ribosomal RNA (575 nucleotides) under Aspergillus sp. siwen. RNAcentral describes it as "eukaryotic LSU rRNA". The stretch from base 192 to 345 matches the Rfam family "5.8S ribosomal RNA". The record is from RNAcentral. Lineage: Eukaryota; Fungi; Ascomycota; Eurotiomycetes; Eurotiales; Aspergillaceae.